This 156-nucleotide ribosomal RNA is filed under the name uncultured Chlamydomonadaceae. Its description in RNAcentral is "5.8S rRNA". It matches the Rfam family "5.8S ribosomal RNA". From Rfam's summary of the family: 5.8S ribosomal RNA (5.8S rRNA) is a component of the large subunit of the eukaryotic ribosome. Lineage: Eukaryota; Viridiplantae; Chlorophyta; Chlorophyceae; Chlamydomonadales; Chlamydomonadaceae. The record is from RNAcentral.
AACUCUCAACAACGGAUAUCUUGGCUCUUGCAACGAUGAAGAACGCAGCGAAAUGCGAUACGUAGUGUGAAUUGCAGAAAACCGUGAACCAUCGAAUCUUUGAAACGCAUAUUGCGCUGGAGGCUUCGGCCAACAGCAUGUUCUGCCUCAGCGUUC